CAGUAGCCGCGGGAAUACGUAGGGAGCAAGCGUUGUUCGGAUUUACUGGGCGUAAAGGGCGCGUAGGCGGCGCGGUAAGUCACUUGUGAAAUCUCUGAGCUUAACUCAGAACGGCCAAGUGAUACUGCUGUGCUAGAGUGCGGAAGAGGCAACCGGAAUUCUUGGUGUAGCGGUGAAAUGCGUAGAUAUCAAGAGGAACACCUGAGGCGAAGGCGGGUUGCUGGGCCGACACUGACGCUGAUGCACGAAAGCGUGGGGAGCAAACAGGAUUAGAUACCCCCGUAGUCCCUGUCUCUUAUAC
RNAcentral lists this ribosomal RNA (301 nucleotides) under uncultured bacterium. RNAcentral's name for it is "partial 16S ribosomal RNA". It matches the Rfam family "Bacterial small subunit ribosomal RNA", at positions 509 to 807 of the family's 1533-position model. The record is from RNAcentral.